UGAAUGAAACCAACUCCCCGCUCUUCAUCC
This 30-nucleotide non-coding RNA is filed under the name Homo sapiens (human). Lineage: Eukaryota; Metazoa; Chordata; Mammalia; Primates; Hominidae. The record is from RNAcentral.